RNAcentral lists this non-coding RNA (220 nucleotides) under Liquorilactobacillus capillatus. Its description in RNAcentral is "Lactobacillus capillatus T-box sequence". It matches the Rfam family "T-box leader". From Rfam's summary of the family: Uncharged tRNA acts as the effector for transcription antitermination of genes in the T-box leader family. T-boxes are found upstream of many aminoacyl-tRNA synthetase genes and some amino acid biosynthetic genes usually in Gram-positive bacteria. Lineage: Bacteria; Bacillati; Bacillota; Bacilli; Lactobacillales; Lactobacillaceae. The record is from RNAcentral.
AAGUAAACAAAGAGAGGGACACCUAUUUGAAUAAGCUUUUCUCAGAGAGACUGUGGUUGGUGUAAACAGUUAAAAGCAUUUUGAUAGACUACCCUUGAGUAGUGAUACGAGUAAACUUUUUAGUCGAAUGUAUUACCGGUGAUGGCCGUUAUUCUGAACCAAAGUGUAAUUAAUUUUAUUAAUUAAAAACGGGUGGUACCGCGCUAAAAGCGUCCCUAGA